UACAGAGGUCCCAAGCGUUGUUCGGAUUCAUUGGGCGUAAAGGGUGCGUAGGUGGCGUCGUAAGUCGGGUGUGAAAUCUCGGGGCUUAACUCCGAAACUGCAUUCGAUACUGCGGUGCUUGAGGACUGGAGAGGAGACUGGAAUUUACGGUGUAGCAGUGAAAUGCGUAGAGAUCGGGAGGAACACCAGUGGCGAAGGCGGUUACCUGGAGCUUUGCUGACGCUGAUGCGCGAAAGCGUGGGGAGCGAUCCGG
RNAcentral lists this ribosomal RNA (253 nucleotides) under uncultured bacterium. RNAcentral's name for it is "partial 16S ribosomal RNA". It matches the Rfam family "Bacterial small subunit ribosomal RNA", at positions 524 to 776 of the family's 1533-position model. The record is from RNAcentral.